Molecule: ribosomal RNA, 831 nt
Filed under: uncultured Actinomycetes bacterium
Lineage: Bacteria; Bacillati; Actinomycetota; Actinomycetes
Description: bacterial SSU rRNA
Rfam family: Bacterial small subunit ribosomal RNA
Source: RNAcentral
UUGCCGUAGCAAUACGGUGAUGGGCGCACGGCGCACGGGUGCGUAACACGUGGGCAAUCUGCCCUUUGAUGGGGAAUAACCCGCCGAAAGGCGGGCUAAUUCCGCAUAAGAUUCCCGGAACUUCGGUUCUGGGAUUGAAAGCAGCAAUGCGUCGAAGGAGGAGCCCGCGCCCGAUUAGCUAGUUGGUGAGGUAAUGGCUCACCAAGGCUUUGAUCGGUAGCUGGUCUGAGAGGAUGAUCAGCCACACUGGAACUGAGACACGGUCCAGACUCCUACGGGAGGCAGCAGUGGGGAAUCUUGCACAAUGGGCGAAAGCCUGAUGCAGCGACGCCGCGUGGGGGAUGAAGCAUUUCGGUGUGUAAACCCCUUUCGACUGGGAAGAAUACCUCGCAAGAGGGGUGACGGUACCAGUAGAAGAAGCCCCGGCUAACUACGUGCCAGCGGCCGCGGUAAGACGUAGGGGGCCAGCGUUGUUCGGAAUUACUGGGUGUAAAGGGUUCGUAGGCGGUGCGGCAAGUUGGGAGUGAAAUCUCUGGGCUUAACCCAGAGGCUGCUUCCAAAACUGCUGUGCUCGAGUGUGAGAGAGGCUCGUGGAAUUGCAGGUGUAGCGGUGAAAUGCGUAGAUAUCUGCAGGAACACCCGUGGCGAAAGCGGCGAGCUGGAUCACUACUGACGCUGAGGAACGAAAGCUAGGGGAGCAAACAGGAUUAGAUACCCUGGUAGUCCUAGCCCUAAACGAUCAGGACUUGGGGUGCCGCCCGUUCGGGCGUCGUCCCGGAGCUAACGCGUUAAGUCCUGCACCUGGGGAGUACGGUCGCAAGACUGAAACUC